Molecule: ribosomal RNA, 292 nt
Filed under: uncultured bacterium
Lineage: Bacteria
Description: partial 16S ribosomal RNA
Rfam family: Archaeal small subunit ribosomal RNA
Source: RNAcentral
GUGCAGCCGCCGCGGUAAUACCGGCAGCUCCAGUGAUGUCCCAUAUUAUUGGGCCUAAAGCGUCCGUAGCUGGCCGACCAAGUCUCCCGGGAAAUCCACCCGCCCAACGGGUGGGCGUCCGGUAGAAACUGGCCGGCUUGGAACCGGAAGGCUCGUAGGGUACGUUCGGGGUAGGAGUGAAAUCCCAUAAUCCCGCACGGACCACCGAUGGCGAAAGCACUUCGAGAAAACGGAUCCGACAGUGAGGGACGAAAGCCAGGGUCUCCAACCGGAUUAGAAACCCGAGUAGUCC